GAAAUGCGAUAAGUAAUGUGAAUUGCAGAAUUCCGUGAAUCAUCGAAUCUCUGAACGCACAUUGCGCCCUCUGGUAUUCCGGGGGGCAUGCCUGUCCGAGCGUCAUUGCGAACCCCUCAAGCACGGCUUGUGUGAUGGGCCCUCCCGCGUCUUGGUCGUCAAGACGGGCCCGAAAUGCAGUGGCGGCUUCGCGGUUAUCCGAUCAGCCAGAGCGUAUGGGGACUCUCUCUCUGUCACACGCCCGCGGCGCGGACCGACGCCUGUCGACCUUUCUUCAUCUUUUCUCGGUUGACCUCGGAUCUGGUAGGGAUACCCGCUGAACUUAAGC
RNAcentral lists this unclassified non-coding RNA (328 nucleotides) under plant metagenome. RNAcentral describes it as "partial contains 5.8S ribosomal RNA, internal transcribed spacer 2, and large subunit ribosomal RNA". The stretch from base 1 to 105 matches the Rfam family "5.8S ribosomal RNA", at positions 50 to 154 of the family's 154-position model. The record is from RNAcentral.